Molecule: transfer RNA, 73 nt
Filed under: Candidatus Levyibacteriota bacterium
Lineage: Bacteria; Candidatus Levyibacteriota
Description: tRNA-Arg
Rfam family: tRNA
About the family: Transfer RNA (tRNA) molecules are approximately 80 nucleotides in length. Their secondary structure includes four short double-helical elements and three loops (D, anti-codon, and T loops). Further hydrogen bonds mediate the characteristic L-shaped molecular structure. tRNAs have two regions of fundamental functional importance: the anti-codon, which is responsible for specific mRNA codon recognition, and the 3' end, to which the tRNAs corresponding amino acid is attached (by aminoacyl-tRNA synthetases). tRNAs cope with the degeneracy of the genetic code in two manners: having more than one tRNA (with a specific anti-codon) for a particular amino acid; and 'wobble' base-pairing, i.e. permitting non-standard base-pairing at the 3rd anti-codon position.
Source: RNAcentral
GUCUUCGUAGUUCAAUGGAUAGAACACUGGGUUCCGGACCCAGCGGUUGGAGGUUCGAGUCCUCUCGAAGACA